Molecule: long non-coding RNA, 736 nt
Organism: Neopsephotus bourkii (Bourke's parrot)
Lineage: Eukaryota; Metazoa; Chordata; Aves; Psittaciformes; Psittacidae
Exons: 6
Source: RefSeq, a predicted model, not a curated record
AGGUAGACCAUCAAAAUAGCACCACCAACGAAGCACCGGCUGAUUCUAAGGAUUUGGAACAGCUCUUAAAAGACUCGGAGCAGUCUAGCCCAAGUGUGAAAAAUGAUGUGAAGUUUUCUGUUCGGGUUUCAUUUUUUGAGAUUUACAAUGAAUGUUUUUAUGAUCUCCUGAUUCCUGUAUCAAAUGACAAGAAAAGAAGUACGCUACGCCUUGCUCAAGACAUCAAGGGAUGUUCGUAUGUAAAAGGUCUGCAGUGGGUACAGAUUUCUGAUUCUAAAGAAGCUUUUUGACUUCUAAAACUGGGGUUGAAACAGCAGAGUAUUGCAAGCACGAAACUAAAUGCUAACUCCAGCAGGAGUCACAGCAUAUUCACAGUUAAAGUAUUGAAAAUUGGAGAUUCAGGAGCACCGCAAGUGAUUGGAGUCAAUGAAUUGUCACUGUGUGAUCUUGCUGGUUCAGAAAGAUGUACCAAGACCCGUAAUGAAGGGGAUAGAUUGAAAGAGAGUAGAAAUAUAAACACCUCCCUCCUGAUUCUAGGCAAGUGUAUUAACUCACUCAAGAACUGUCAACAGUCAAAGUUACAGCAGCACAUACCCUUUCGGGAAAGUAAGUUAACUCACUGCUUCCAAGGAUUCUUCAGUGGAAAGGGGAAGAUCUGUAUGAAAGUAAAUAUAAGCCAGUGUGCAUCAGCAUAUGAUGAAACACUCAAUGUGCUAAAGUUCUCAGCCAGUGCACA